AUACAGCUAACGAGUCUCAAAUAGGACGAAACACGCAUCCUGGAU
Non-coding RNA from Schistosoma curassoni, 45 nucleotides. The record is from Rfam. NCBI's taxonomy places the organism in Eukaryota, Metazoa, Platyhelminthes, Trematoda, Strigeidida, Schistosomatidae.